This 332-nucleotide ribosomal RNA is filed under the name uncultured eukaryote. RNAcentral describes it as "partial 18S ribosomal RNA". It matches the Rfam family "Eukaryotic small subunit ribosomal RNA", at positions 1470 to 1796 of the family's 1831-position model. The record is from RNAcentral.
CCCUUAGAUGUUCUGGGCCGCACGCGCGCUACAAUGAGAGAUUCAGUGUGUUGUUAAAACCUGGCCCGAAAGGGUUGGGUAAUCAUUUCAAUUUCUCUCGUAAUAGGGAUUGAGCAUUGUAAUUUUUGUUCAUGAACGAGGAAUUCCUAGUAAGCGCGAGUCAUAAGCUUGCGUUGACUACGUCCCUGCCCUUUGUACACACCGCCCGUCGCUACUACCGAUUGAAUGGUUUAGCGAGAACCUCGGAUCAGAUCCCUAUUGUGUGCAAACGCAGUGUUGGAUAUGAAAAGAUGUUCAAGCUUGAUCAUUUAGAGGAAGUAAAAGUCGUAACA